Molecule: ribosomal RNA, 434 nt
Filed under: uncultured bacterium
Lineage: Bacteria
Description: partial 16S ribosomal RNA
Rfam family: Bacterial small subunit ribosomal RNA
Source: RNAcentral
AGCGAACGCUGGCGGCAGGCCUAACACAUGCAAGUCGAACGAACCUUUCGGGGUUAGUGGCGGACGGGUGAGUAACACGUGGGAACGUGCCCUUAGGUUCGGAAUAACUCAGGGAAACUUGUGCUAAUACCGAAUGUGCCCUUCGGGGGAAAGAUUUAUCGCCUUUAGAGCGGCCCGCGUCUGAUUAGCUAGUUGGUUGAGGUAAUGGCUCACCAAGGUGUCGAUCAGUAGUUGGUCUGAGAGGAUGAUCAGCCACAUUGGGACUGAGACACGGCCCAAACUCCUACGGGAGGCAGCAGUGGGGAAUCUUGCGCAAUGGGCGAAAGCCUGACGCAGCCAUGCCGCGUGAAUGAUGAAGGUCUUAGGAUUGUAAAAUUCUUUCACCGGGGACGAUAAUGACGGUACCCGGAGAAGAAGCCCCGGCUAACUACGUG